Molecule: long non-coding RNA, 751 nt
Filed under: Androctonus crassicauda
Lineage: Eukaryota; Metazoa; Arthropoda; Arachnida; Scorpiones; Buthidae
Source: RNAcentral
GUUUCAAAUUCAAUAUAUUUUAAUAAUUUAUUGAUGUUGAAAUAAAUUCUUGGAACUUUGAACGUUAAAUCACAAACUCAAAGAUAUCAACAACAUACAAUGAACGUCAAAUAAUUUAUUUCUGUUUCUGACAACAGAGGGCGGUAGAAAGGUUAAGGUACUGCCAUCUAGCGAGAAUCCGAUAAACGACGAUUAGAUAAAUAAUCGAGACUGGUUGGGUCAGUCGAGUACUUGCGUUCGUUAGUAGUAGCACGUAAUUUGCUGUGGGAGUGUUUUAUCUUAUUCUCGUGUUUUAAGGAUUGAUCCAGUCGUUUAGACAUCAGAAAUGGGUCGUGAUGGUGAGUGAGUCUUUUUUUAAUGUUGUUAAUUAUAAGGAACGUGCAUGGAAAUUAUGCGGAUCUAUCACUUUUUUUUUUUUUUUACCUUUACAUCCACACAUCUACGGUCUUCGCUAUAGGUGUAAACAGAUCGAUAACUUCAUCCCUUCUCAAUUAUUUCAAGAAUUCCCAAAUUUAACUGUAACUAUUUUACGAUUAAAAUUUACAUAACGUGAUCGUUUCGUUAAAAUUAAUUACUUUAUUUAUCUACCUUUGAUUACCUGAGGUUGAUAUAGCGCCAAAACUUGUUCGUGCCUUCUUAUUUCUAUUGUGUAGUAAAUCAUAAAAUACUAGUUUAAUUGACUUAAUUUAUGACUUAAAAAAAAGCAAAGUGAUCAUUUUAGAAUUUUUAGUAAGCUUAUUGAUUAUCGGAC